UUGAGGCCGGAUGUUUCUAAUUUUUGUGAGAAUUUGUAGGAUUUCUCUAGACUGUCCACCUAGAAUCCUAGGUGGCUUCACCUAGAGGUUUCAAAAGGAGUCUCCAAUUAGUAAUAGUAAGAUGCUAGUAGCUACCUGAAUCCUUGUACCUCUCCUCCAUUCUUUAUCAUCAGUGAUAUCACUAAUUUAAUGCCACAUAUAUAAACCAGCCCACUUUUUAAUUAAAUAGAGGAUCUAAUAAUCAAAUAGCAAAUGAGAUUGAUUGAAUAGUCGCUUGAUUGGUGCGUGUACAUACAACAUUAGAUUCUUUGUCCCUUUCUACUACCGCCAAAAGUUGGGUGUACUCUUAAUAUCCCAUAAUGCCAGUCCUACUCCGUGGCAUGUGAAGGAGAUCCGUGACAGAUUGGUAGCGUAUAGAUAAAAUAAAGAUUAUAAAUAUGGAGAGGAGAUCAUCAGUCGAAACACUGAUUGAUGAUUGUGGCAACGGUAGCUCACGUACAGCAUACAGCUACGAACACUCCUUGCAAUUAUUUGUAGCGUCUUAAUGGUCGUCCAAGUCAAGUUAAUGAUCAUGCAUGAGAGUACUUUUCGCAAUUGUCCAGUCUCUAUCUUCGUCGAGAGGUCAAAAUGGGCACAUAAUUCUAAUGGUUCCAGUUACUUCAUUCUUUCCUAAAUCAUGAAUUCCAUGGGUUGCAUUCUUCAUGAAUUCCAUGGGUUGCAUUUCUUCAUGAAUUCUAAUAGUAUUCUUGAGUUCGUUCAAAAAAUAGUAUUCUUGCAAAUAUUUUUUUAUAUUUCUAAUGGAGUUUAUAUGUUUCCUAUGGAACUCUUGCAUUUUGAACUGACCCUAGGUAAUCUAGGAGAUUAAAGUUGUAGAGUCACAGAUAUAUCAUCAGUAGAAAUCUCAUGUACACGAAGAAAUUUUGUGGUAACGGUAGCUCACGUACUGCAUACGGCUACUACCUACUUGCAAUUAUUUGCAGUGUCUCAGAAAAAUACAUGAGAAUAUUGCUGUUACACGGUACCUUUUGCAAUGUCUAGACUAGAGAAAAGAUUUCCGCGGUAAUUUAAUACCAUCAGUACCUAUUUCAUAUGCUUGAAGGCAGGUUAAUUUGUUGGAGGCACUGCUUCAUUCAACUUUCUUCUUCUUCUUCUUCCAAAUGACACCAUUAGCUGAUUAGCAUAUUGUUGUAAGUUGUUAAAUUGAACUUUACGGCCAUUUCUACGGUGAAAAGACGUUGUAUGUGGCCGGCCACUUGAGAGUUUGAUGUUGCUUUCGUCGUGACACGAAAGUCCAGCUUACACACUGUAAUUUGAGCAUGCAUUGCUAUGUCGUAUGCUUGACCUUCGCU
Molecule: long non-coding RNA, 1349 nt
Organism: Panicum virgatum (switchgrass)
Lineage: Eukaryota; Viridiplantae; Streptophyta; Magnoliopsida; Poales; Poaceae
Exons: 2
Source: RefSeq, a predicted model, not a curated record